GACGAACGCUGGCGGCGUGCUUAACACAUGCAAGUCGAACGGAAAGGCCCUGCUUUUGUGGGGUGCUCGAGUGGCGAACGGGUGAGUAACACGUGAGUAACCUGCCCUUGACUUUGGGAUAACUUCAGGAAACUGGGGCUAAUACCGGAUAGGAGCUCCUGCUGCAUGGUGGGGGUUGGAAAGUUUCGGCGGUUGGGGAUGGACUCGCGGCUUAUGAGCUUGUUGGUGGGGUAGUGGCUUACCAAGGCUUUGACGGGUAGCCGGCCUGAGAGGGUGACCGGCCACAUUGGGACUGAGAUACGGCCCAGACUCCUACGGGAGGCAGCAGUGGGGAAUCUUGCACAAUGGGCGGAAGCCUGAUGCAGCAACGCCGCGUGCGGGAUGACGGCCUUCGGGUUGUAAACCGCUUUCGCCUGUGACGAAGCGUGAGUGACGGUAAUGGGUAAAGAAGCACCGGCUAACUACGUG
RNAcentral lists this ribosomal RNA (468 nucleotides) under uncultured bacterium. RNAcentral's name for it is "partial 16S ribosomal RNA". It matches the Rfam family "Bacterial small subunit ribosomal RNA", at positions 28 to 507 of the family's 1533-position model. The record is from RNAcentral.